UAGUACAGCCAGUGCUCACUUC
RNAcentral lists this microRNA (22 nucleotides) under Tribolium castaneum (red flour beetle). RNAcentral's name for it is "tca-miR-11618b-3p". The record is from miRBase by way of RNAcentral. Lineage: Eukaryota; Metazoa; Arthropoda; Insecta; Coleoptera; Tenebrionidae.